ACAACAGAGUUGUUUUUCAACCUUUUAAUAAUAAAAGUGUUAUUAGUUUUUUUUUUUAUUACUGAUGAACAAAAUGGAAAGUAAAUUUAAAAAAAGAAAAUCCAAAAUCACAUCAAUAAUUAGUGCGACACCGUUUAGCUGUAAAACAUCAUCAGGUCUUCUUGGUUCAUUCACACACAGUUUUUGAAGGAACUCAGCAGGUAGUUUGUUGGAAUCAUCUUGAGAAACUAAGCACAGAUCUUCUGUGGAUGGAGGCUCCUCAAAUCUCUUCAUAUAAUCCCAGACUGACUCGAUGAUGUUGAGAUCACGACUCUCUGGAUCCAAAACUGUCACGUCCAGGACUCCUUGUUCUUCUCUACACUGAAGAAAUCCAUGAUGUUGUGCAGGAGAUACAGCUGGUGAAAUAAAGGAGAUUAAUUCAGAGAAGAAGCCUGACACACUGGAGAUCUCACCAUCUUCUAAGGCCAGUGCUGAUCUGGAGUGAGAUCCAUGUGCUGCUCGAGGAAGUGGGCAGGAAAGUGUGUCUCAAUCAUACACUUUCUUCUACGGUCUGAGAAGAUUCUGUUUUUAUGGCCUGGAUGUUCUGCCUCUUUUUAUUUAGACUUUUUUUUCAUCAAUGUGUUUUUUCACUGUAGGGCACAUCAGAAGUAUUUGGACUUUGAAUAUAUGUUGUAUAUAUGUAUAUGUGUGUGUGUGUGUGUGUGUGUGUGUGUGUGUGUGUGUGUGUGUGUGUGUGACAAAUAAAAAAUGUAUUUGAUAAUUUUGCUAUCGAGUCCCUGAAGACACACAAGCUUUAAAAAUGAAAGCCCUGAAAGGUAAAUGUUCUAAUCACCGUCGUAUCAGGAAGUAAUUCUGUAUGAAGAUAUGUGUCACUACAGAAGUAUAUAAAUAUAUAUAUAUAUAUAUUCAUAAAAGCAUGAUAUUUUCUAUGUUUAUAUUUACAUGUAUGCAUUUGGCAGAUGAUUUUAUUAUUAUUUAUUUAUUUUUCAGACAACGUCCAAAAGAAAUCCAGUGUUUCCACAUGUGAGAUGUCAUUAGAAACAAACUGCACAAUGAGGACAAAGUCUUUAAAAACCCAAACUUCUCUGAAUAAUGAAGAAAGUAAAUAAAUGAAUGAUUUGUAAAAGUGAAAA
Silurus meridionalis is the source of this 1133-nucleotide long non-coding RNA. RefSeq lists it as uncharacterized. The transcript has 2 exons. The record is from RefSeq and is a predicted model, not a curated record. Lineage: Eukaryota; Metazoa; Chordata; Actinopteri; Siluriformes; Siluridae.